RNAcentral lists this ribosomal RNA (2816 nucleotides) under Klebsiella pneumoniae. RNAcentral describes it as "partial 23S ribosomal RNA". It matches the Rfam family "Bacterial large subunit ribosomal RNA". Lineage: Bacteria; Pseudomonadati; Pseudomonadota; Gammaproteobacteria; Enterobacterales; Enterobacteriaceae. The record is from RNAcentral.
GGUUAAGCGACUAAGCGUACACGGUGGAUGCCCUGGCAGUCAGAGGCGAUGAAGGACGUGCUAAUCUGCGAAAAGCGUCGGUAAGGUGAUAUGAACCGUUAUAACCGGCGAUGUCCGAAUGGGGAAACCCAGUGCAAUUCGUUGCACUAUCGUUAACUGAAUACAUAGGUUAACGAGGCGAACCGGGGGAACUGAAACAUCUAAGUACCCCGAGGAAAAGAAAUCAACCGAGAUUCCCCCAGUAGCGGCGAGCGAACGGGGAGCAGCCCAGAGUCUGAAUCAGCUUGUGUGUUAGUGGAACGGUCUGGAAAGUCCGACGGUACAGGGUGAUAGUCCCGUACACCAAAAUGCACAGGUUGUGAACUCGAAGAGUAGGGCGGGACACGUGGUAUCCUGUCUGAAUAUGGGGGGACCAUCCUCCAAGGCUAAAUACUCCUGACUGACCGAUAGUGAACCAGUACCGUGAGGGAAAGGCGAAAAGAACCCCGGCGAGGGGAGUGAAAAAGAACCUGAAACCGUGUACGUACAAGCAGUGGGAGCACCUUCGGGUGUGACUGCGUACCUUUUGUAUAAUGGGUCAGCGACUUAUAUUCUGUAGCAAGGUUAACCGUAUAGGGGAGCCGCAGGGAAACCGAGUCUUAACUGGGCGUUAAGUUGCAGGGUAUAGACCCGAAACCCGGUGAUCUAGCCAUGGGCAGGUUGAAGGUUGGGUAACACUAACUGGAGGACCGAACCGACUAAUGUUGAAAAAUUAGCGGAUGACUUGUGGCUGGGGGUGAAAGGCCAAUCAAACCGGGAGAUAGCUGGUUCUCCCCGAAAGCUAUUUAGGUAGCGCCUCGUGAACUCAUCUUCGGGGGUAGAGCACUGUUUCGGCUAGGGGGUCAUCCCGACUUACCAACCCGAUGCAAACUACGAAUACCGAAGAAUGUUAUCACGGGAGACACACGGCGGGUGCUAACGUCCGUCGUGAAGAGGGAAACAACCCAGACCGCCAGCUAAGGUCCCAAAGUCAUGGUUAAGUGGGAAACGAUGUGGGAAGGCACAGACAGCCAGGAUGUUGGCUUAGAAGCAGCCAUCAUUUAAAGAAAGCGUAAUAGCUCACUGGUCAAGUCGGCCUGCGCGGAAGAUGUAACGGGGCUAAACCAUGCACCGAAGCUGCGGCAGCGACACUAUGUGUUGUUGGGUAGGGGAGCGUUCUGUAAGCCUGCGAAGGUGACCUGUGAGGGUUGCUGGAGGUAUCAGAAGUGCGAAUGCUGACAUAAGUAACGAUAAAGCGGGUGAAAAGCCCGCUCGCCGGAAGACCAAGGGUUCCUGUCCAACGUUAAUCGGGGCAGGGUGAGUCGACCCCUAAGGCGAGGCCGAAAGGCGUAGUCGAUGGGAAACAGGUUAAUAUUCCUGUACUUGGUGUUACUGCGAAGGGGGGACGGAGAAGGCUAUGUUAGCCGGGCGACGGUUGUCCCGGUUUAAGCAUGUAGGCUGAUUGUCCAGGCAAAUCCGGAUAAUCAAGGCUGAGGUGUGAUGACGAGGCACUACGGUGCUGAAGUAACAAAUGCCCUGCUUCCAGGAAAAGCCUCUAAGCAUCAGGUAACAUCAAAUCGUACCCCAAACCGACACAGGUGGUCAGGUAGAGAAUACCAAGGCGCUUGAGAGAACUCGGGUGAAGGAACUAGGCAAAAUGGUGCCGUAACUUCGGGAGAAGGCACGCUGGUGUGUAGGUGAAGCCCCUGCGGGUGGAGCUGAGACCAGUCGAAGAUACCAGCUGGCUGCAACUGUUUAUUAAAAACACAGCACUGUGCAAACACGAAAGUGGACGUAUACGGUGUGACGCCUGCCCGGUGCCGGAAGGUUAAUUGAUGGGGUUAUCCGUAAGGAGAAGCUCUUGAUCGAAGCCCCGGUAAACGGCGGCCGUAACUAUAACGGUCCUAAGGUAGCGAAAUUCCUUGUCGGGUAAGUUCCGACCUGCACGAAUGGCGUAAUGAUGGCCAGGCUGUCUCCACCCGAGACUCAGUGAAAUUGAACUCGCUGUGAAGAUGCAGUGUACCCGCGGCAAGACGGAAAGACCCCGUGAACCUUUACUAUAGCUUGACACUGAACAUUGAGCCUUGAUGUGUAGGAUAGGUGGGAGGCUUUGAAGCGUGGACGCCAGUCUGCGUGGAGCCAACCUUGAAAUACCACCCUUUAAUGUUUGAUGUUCUAACGUUGGCCCCUGACCGGGGUUGCGGACAGUGUCUGGUGGGUAGUUUGACUGGGGCGGUCUCCUCCCAAAGCGUAACGGAGGAGCACGAAGGUUAGCUAAUCCUGGUCGGACAUCAGGAGGUUAGUGCAAUGGCAUAAGCUAGCUUGACUGCGAGCGUGACGGCGCGAGCAGGUGCGAAAGCAGGUCAUAGUGAUCCGGUGGUUCUGAAUGGAAGGGCCAUCGCUCAACGGAUAAAAGGUACUCCGGGGAUAACAGGCUGAUACCGCCCAAGAGUUCAUAUCGACGGCGGUGUUUGGCACCUCGAUGUCGGCUCAUCACAUCCUGGGGCUGAAGUAGGUCCCAAGGGUAUGGCUGUUCGCCAUUUAAAGUGGUACGCGAGCUGGGUUUAGAACGUCGUGAGACAGUUCGGUCCCUAUCUGCCGUGGGCGCUGGAGAAUUGAGGGGGGCUGCUCCUAGUACGAGAGGACCGGAGUGGACGCAUCACUGGUGUUCGGGUUGUCAUGCCAAUGGCACUGCCCGGUAGCUAAAUGCGGAAGAGAUAAGUGCUGAAAGCAUCUAAGCACGAAACUUGCCCCGAGAUGAGUUCUCCCUGAGACUUUAAGUCUCCUGAAGGAACGUU